RNAcentral lists this ribosomal RNA (513 nucleotides) under uncultured bacterium. RNAcentral describes it as "partial 16S ribosomal RNA". It matches the Rfam family "Bacterial small subunit ribosomal RNA", at positions 28 to 507 of the family's 1533-position model. The record is from RNAcentral.
GACGAACGCUGGCGGCGUGCUUAACACAUGCAAGUCGAACGAAAAGAGGGAAAGAGCUUGCUCUUUCCGGAAUUGAGUGGCAAACGGGUGAGUAACACGUAAACAACCUGCCUUCAGGAUGGGGACAACAGACGGAAACGACUGCUAAUACCGAAUAAGUUCCAAGAGCCGCAUGGCCCAUGGAAGAAAAGGUGGCCUCUACCUGUAAGCUAUCGCCUGAAGAGGGGUUUGCGUCUGAUUAGCUGGUUGGAGGGGUAACGGCCCACCAAGGCGACGAUCAGUAGCCGGUCUGAGAGGAUGAACGGCCACACUGGAACUGAGACACGGUCCAGACUCCUACGGGAGGCAGCAGUGGGGAAUCUUCCGCAAUGGGCGAAAGCCUGACGGAGCAACGCCGCGGGAGGGAUGACGGCCUUCGGGUUGUAAAACUCUGUGAUCCGGGACGAAAAGGCAGAGUGCGAAGAACAAACUGCAUUGACGGUACCGGAAAAGCAAGCCACGGCUAACUACGUG